RNAcentral lists this transfer RNA (75 nucleotides) under Pacificimonas sp. RNAcentral's name for it is "tRNA-Val". It matches the Rfam family "tRNA". From Rfam's summary of the family: Transfer RNA (tRNA) molecules are approximately 80 nucleotides in length. Their secondary structure includes four short double-helical elements and three loops (D, anti-codon, and T loops). The record is from RNAcentral. Lineage: Bacteria; Pseudomonadati; Pseudomonadota; Alphaproteobacteria; Sphingomonadales; Sphingosinicellaceae. RNAcentral also lists the same sequence under 3 other names.
GGGCGCAUAGCUCAGUGGUAGAGCACUGUGUUGACAUCGCAGGGGUCGGAAGUUCGAACCUUCCUGCGCCCACCA